AUUGAACGCUGGCGGCAUGCUUUACACAUGCAAGUCGAACGGUAACAGGCCUUCGGGUGCUGACGAGUGGCGAACGGGUGAGUAAUGCAUCGGAACGUGCCCAGAGGUGGGGGAUAACGCAGCGAAAGCUGUGCUAAUACCGCAUGUGAUCUGAGGAUGAAAGCGGGGGACCAAGCAGCAAUGUUUGGCCUCGCGCCUCUGGAGCGGCCGAUGUCAGAUUAGGUAGUUGGUGGGGUAAAGGCCUACCAAGCCGACGAUCUGUAGCUGGUCUGAGAGGACGACCAGCCACACUGGGACUGAGACACGGCCCAGACUCCUACGGGAGGCAGCAGUGGGGAAUUUUGGACAAUGGGCGCAAGCCUGAUCCAGCAAUGCCGCGUGCGGGAAGAAGGCCUUCGGGUUGUAAACCGCUUUUGUACGGAACGAAAAGGCUCUCGCUAAUACCUGGGGCUGAUGACGGUACCGUAAGAAUAAGCACCGGCUAACUACGUG
This 492-nucleotide ribosomal RNA is filed under the name uncultured bacterium. RNAcentral describes it as "bacterial SSU rRNA". It matches the Rfam family "Bacterial small subunit ribosomal RNA", at positions 30 to 507 of the family's 1533-position model. The record is from RNAcentral.